This is a long non-coding RNA of Equus caballus (horse), 1978 nucleotides long. The record is from Ensembl. NCBI's taxonomy places the organism in Eukaryota, Metazoa, Chordata, Mammalia, Perissodactyla, Equidae.
GACUCCCAUAGGGUAUGAAGGGCUUGUGUGUAUGAGCUUAUAUGUAUUUUUCAGGGGAGUGAGAUCUUAACCCCCACCGGGGUUUGCUAUUCAGAGCACCGUCAGAGCAACAGCAGCCUCAGCAUCACGCUGGAGCUUUUAGAAAUGCUGACUCUCAGGCCCCGCCCUGGAUCUGUGGACUCGGAAUUUGCAUUUUAACACAAUCCCCUAGUCAUUCUCUUGCACAUGAAGGCUGGAAAAGCACUGGUCUAGGGGAGGUUGGACUAUGUAGGCGAGAGAAACAAAGGGGAAGUGGAGGCGGCGUCUCUCAGCCCUUUCCCUGAAGGCUCCCACUGAGUUUGCUCCUUCUGAAGUCGGUCCUGGCUGCCCUCCCGAUGCUCAGCGCUCACCCACACCGGCCUUCCUCUUCAACAACGCCUGCCAGAAGACUCAUUACUCUGCUUCUAAUAUGUGACUGGCCAGGGGCCAGGAUCUGGCUACCAACUGACUGAUUAACCGCUUAGCCAGAGCGACGGCUUCCCCGUCCACAAGCAGCAGCUAGCAGCUCCUCUCUGCCCCGUGGGUUGCAAAGGAGCCUCCUGGCCCGUCUUGAUCUGGGCAUGGCUAGGGGCUGCUCUGGCUGUGGGCUUCAAAGUCUUCUUGGCUCCAUUCUCUGAGUGUCACCACUUUCCUACUUGUUCUUUCCCUUCCUCUUCUUUCUCUAUUCAUCUUCAAUUCCUUCUAUUGUUAUUUCUCCCCAUCCCACCCGUCAAUCCAUUGUUCACAUCUAUACAUAGACACACUUCAUAUCACACAGCUCUAAAAUAUCCUCUUUAACCCCGUGUUCUCUUCUAGCUAUUGCUCUAGUUUUCUCUCUCUCAUCAAUAAAACUUCUUGGAACAAUUGUCUUCACAUAUUAUUUUCCAUUCCUAUCUUCCAUUUGUUUUUUUACGUACUACAACUUGCCUUCUAUCCACACUGCUCCACCCAAACUGCCCUUAGAAAGGACCCCAUGCCCGCCAUGUUGUUAAUCCAAUACUCAUUUCAGUCUUUAUGUACUUGACUUCUCAGCAGAAUUUGAUAGAGACACCUUCUCGGUCCUGAAACGGUCUCAUCGCUUGUCUCCUGUGGCAUCCCAGACUUUCUUUUCUCCCUAGCUCCUUCUUGGCUGCUUUUGUCAGCUUCCCCUCUUCUAUUUGACCCAUAAAUGUGGCAAUUUAUCUGCACUCAGCUCUGACCCUCUUUUCGUUUCUCCCUGCCUUCUCUUCCUAAAAUUUAGAGCCCAAAUGAUAUCAUUAUAGAGAAAUGAAGUUGCUUUUUCAAGAAAAUCUCUGUAGGGACUGAGAUUCAUCCCUAAAGAAAAAGCAAACAUAAAUCUUAAUUUCAAACUGUGAUAACUGCUUUGAAGGAAAAAUUUAAAUAGAGAGUCUAAUGGAGAGCCUAAUUCACACUGAUUUUUACUGGGGGAGGGGAAGGGUAGGCCUCUCUUAGGAAGUGACAUUUAAGCUGAGACCUGAAGGAUGACGAGGAGUUGGGCAGGUGCAGGGUCGAGAGGAGAAGCAAAAGUAAACAAAACAGAACAAAACAAAAAGCAGCAAAGCCUAAGGCUGAUGACAUCCACAUGUCCCCUCCAACCCAGAUCUCUGUGCUCUGGACUGUUUAUCCCUUCUGGACGUUUCCAUUUGGCUGUCUCUCAGGUAUCUCAAACUUAUUAUAUCCACAGCAGAAGUUUGGAUUUCUCUACAUGUACUUGUUUUCUCCCCACACUUGCCCCCUUCAGUAAAUGGCUUCAUUUUCCACUCAGUGCUCAAACAGAAACCCAAGAGUUCUUAUUGACUCCUUCCUUUCCCUCACUCCCUAAUCCACUCCAAUGGAAAAAUCUGUUAACGCGACCACUAAAAUACAUCGAGAAUCCAUCCACUCAUUCUACUGCCACAAAUCUAGUUUGAGCCGCCAUCUUCUCUCGCCUGGAAGACAAUAGCCUCUCAACUGCUCUCCU